Molecule: long non-coding RNA, 187 nt
Organism: Drosophila ananassae
Lineage: Eukaryota; Metazoa; Arthropoda; Insecta; Diptera; Drosophilidae
Exons: 2
Source: RefSeq, a predicted model, not a curated record
GUGGAUGGAGAUUGGUCGCCAAAUUGAUAAUCGGGAUGAGCCAAAUUGAUGUCGGGAUAGUUCCCAUUUGGACGAUGAUGAGCGCACCGAAUUAACAUACUGCUACACCAAGAAGUGGGCUCUCCACAUCAUGGUUCGCAUGUUCGAGGGGUAUGGAAGUCCCAGCAACGUAGUUAGUGAAAAGCAC